CUGACUGCUAUUGGAGUAGGACUAAGUCACGCUAGUCAAAGGUACAGAAUGGAGUACCUGGCGCACGGCUCAGUAACACGUAAUGAAUCUACCCUAAGGACGAGAACAACCACGGGAAACUGUGGCUAAUUCUCGAUAGGAAAUUUGGCCUGGAACGGUAUCUUUCCCAAAACCGGCUCGCCGUGAGACACGGGCCUUAGGAUGGCGUUGCGGCCGAUUAUGCUAGACGGCGGUGUAAAGGACCACCGUGGCGUCGAUCGGUAUGGGCGAUGGAAGUCGGAGCCCAGAGUCGGCUACUGAGACAAGGAGCCGAGCCUUACGAGGCUUAGCGGUCGCGAAAACUCGCCAAUGCACGAAAGUGUGAGUGGGCUACUCCAAGUGUCAUUCUUACGGAUGACUGUCGCUCAGUCUUACAAGCUGAGAAAGGAAGGAGAGGGCAAGGCUGGUGCCAGCCGCCGCGGUAAAACCAGCUCUUCGAGUGGUCAGGACGAAUAUUGGGUCUAAAGCGUUCGUAGCGGGACAAGUAGGUUCCUGGUUAAAUCCGACGUCACAAGCGUUGGGCUGCUGGGAAUACCGCUAGUCUUGAGAGCGGGAUAGGACAGGGGUAGUCUAUGGGCAGGGGUGAAAUCCAGUGAUCCAUAGGCGACCACCGAUGGCGAAGGCA
RNAcentral lists this ribosomal RNA (664 nucleotides) under uncultured euryarchaeote. RNAcentral's name for it is "bacterial SSU rRNA". It matches the Rfam family "Archaeal small subunit ribosomal RNA", at positions 23 to 674 of the family's 1478-position model. The record is from RNAcentral. Lineage: Archaea; Methanobacteriati; Methanobacteriota.